AACUCUCUUACAGUUAAAAAAACAUAUGGGGUCUUUAAUGGCUAAUUGAGCUUAAUUUUGAAUUUUUAUUUUAAUUAUGGCGGCUAAGAAGAAGAAGCAAAAUCAAAUUUCAAAGAAGAGUGGUAAAAAAAAGCAGCAACAGCAGCAGUUUUUGAGUGAAGAUGAUUAUCGACUUAGGCUUCAAGAGGGUUUGUAUUCACCUGAUUAUAUACUGGCUAAAAUUUUCAGAAAAGAUGGUCCUACACUUGGUGAUGAAUUUGAUCUUCUUCCUUCAAAUGCUUUUUCUAGCCAUAAGAAAGGUUCCAGAAUUUCUGGUCAAGCUAGACAAGAAAACCAAGGAGCGACUAAGAGGAGAAAGGUUUCUGUGCCUGCUACCAUGCAUCUCCAAGCUUUAUGUGAAAGUAAUCCUCCUGUGAAGAAGCAUGGUACUGGGAAAGGUCUGAUAACAAAAGACGUUUCGGUGAAAAAGCAUAGCGCUGGGAAACGUUUGAUGACUGAGAAGAGUGCUACUCUUAGAAAUCAUGGUAUGGGGAAGGGUUUGAUGACAGUUUGGCGGGCAACAAAUCCUCACGCUGGAGACAUCCCCAGUGGUGUUGGUUUUGGAGAGAGUGCUGAAGAGAGAAAGAAGAAGUUGCUGCAGCGACAGUCUAUUUUGAGAAAAAUAGAAAAGAAAUUGCAGGAUAAGAAGAGGAUUGGUGUGAAAUGCAGAAAGGCAGAGAAUAAAAGGAUUGAAAAGCAGAAGAUGCCUCGUAAGGAAAAAUGUGAACUUGCGCUGGAAUGGAGCAAGUGCCAAGAAGGAUUACCUAUCAAAAAAAGGAAGUGCCAACACGAGUUUACUCAGUUGGGGUCGCUAGUGGAUGAUGAGGAACUUGAGUUAAUGGAGAUGGAAGCAGGACCUAACUCAUUGACAUGCUGUACACACUUUGCAAGCAAUGGACUUCGUGGAUGUUCACUUUGCAAAGGUUUACUUCCAAAGUUUCCUCCCAAUUCAGUAAUAAUGAAGCUGCCUCUCUAUGAGCGACCAUGGGAUUCCUCUCCAGAGCUCGCCAAGAAACUGUUCAAGGUCUUCCACUUUCUUUGUACUUAUGCUGCAAGAAUUGAUAUCUGUUCCUUCACAAUUGAUGAGUUUGCACAAGCAUUUCAUGAAAAAGAUUCCUUGAUCCUUGGACAAGUUCAUUUAGCCUUUCUCAGGCUUCUUUUGGCAGAUGUUGAAAUUCAGCUUAACAAGGGAUUCAUUCAUCAAGCAAGCAGAAGUUGCAAUUUCUUGGGAUUGGUUCACUCAAUUGAACAUGAAGAAUUUAGUCUGGAACUCUGGAUUAGUUCUCUCAAUGCCUUAACAUGGACAGAGAUACUACGGCAAGUCUUGGUUGCUGCUGGUUUUGGGUCCAAACGUGGUAGAGUACCUGGAGAGGCUCUCUGCAAGGAACGUAGUUUGAUGGCCAAGUAUGGGUUAACCCGUGGUACACUGAAGGGUGAACUUUUUAGCAUUCUGCUAAUUAAAGGAACUGAUGGAAUGAAAGUUCAUGAGCUGGCAAAACUUCAAUCUAUUCUUGAAUUGAAUCUGGCAGCGACAACCAUUCAGCUAGAAGAUUUAAUAAGCUCAACCCUUUCUAGUGACAUUACCUUGUUUGAAAAGAUUUCAUCUUCAGGGUACCGUCUACGUAUUAAUCCUUCUUCACAGGAAUCUGAAAUUUGUUUCUCAGAUUCCGAAGGAGAUGACGCAGAGGUUAUUAGUGGAUACAUCAGAGAUAAUUCAGAAUGUGAGUCUCGCGAAUUAGUUCGAGCUGAAUCUGAACGGAGCUAUCAUCAGUUUGAAAAUAGGAACAGUCUGUCAACAGUAAAUACUGAAAUUGAUGAAAGCUACUCAGGAGAAGCAUGGUUGUUAGGGCUGAUGGAAGGUGAAUAUUCAGAUCUGGGCAUUGAAGAGAAGCUGAACGCCUUGGUGGCAUUGGUUGAUCUUCUUGUUGCUGCAUCCAGCAUCACUGAAAAGGAUCCGAUGCCAUCAGCUGUAGAAUGUGCUCCUGCAACGAUUCAUCAUGCUUCUGGUGGAAAAAUAAAAAGGUCAUCAGCAAAAUCAUCCUACUUGACUGGGCAUGCACAAAGUCAUAAUGGGCAACUUAGUAAUCAAGAUCCAACAGUGUCACUGGAACUUCAGCCAGUUGACUCUUCUUCAGUAUUAAUGUCAAAGCUCUGUGAGAAAAAUAAGUCACCUAGGACUGCAAAGAAUGCCAAAGAACUGAAAGCUGGGGAUGAGUUGCACCCUAUGCAGUCUAUCUUCCUCGGUUCUGACCGUAGGUACAAUAGAUACUGGAUUUUCUUGGGCCCUUGCAAUGAACUUGAUCCUGGGCACAGGAGGAUUUAUUUUGAAUCUUCUGAAGAUGGUCACUGGGAGGUGAUUGAUACUGAAGAGUCUUUAUGCUCUUUGUCGGCUGCCUUGGACCGUAGAGGUAUACGAGAGGCUCUUCUAGUUGCAUCUCUGGAGAAACGGGAAACCUUCCUAUGCCAAGCAAUGUCAAAUGUUCUGAAUGAUUCGGGAGAUAGCCAAUCACCUCGAUGUGGAAGGAGCUUUUCUAGGGAAGAUAGUUCAUCAUCUGCAAUUUCUGAUGUGGAUAACUUAAGCCUUGUUGAAGUGCACAAUGGUUCUAUUGGUCCGAAGGUGCCUGUAGGUAGGAAAGGAGAACAUCAGCAAGACAAAUGGAACAUCGCUCAAGCUUUUGACACAUGGAUAUGGAAAUCAUUCUAUUGUAAUCUUGCCGCUGUGAAACGUGGGAAAAGGUCUUAUCUUGAUUCACUUGCAAGGUGUGAACAAUGUCAUGAUCUAUACUGGAGGGAUGAGAAGCACUGCAGGAUUUGCCACACCACGUUUGAGCUUGAUUUUGAUCUUGAAGAAAAAUAUGCCAUUCAUACUGCAACAUGCAGGCAGAACCUAGAUCUUGAUAAGUUAUCAAAGCAUAAAAUUCUCCCAUCAGAAUUGCAGUCACUUAAAGCUGCAAUACAUGCAAUUGAGUCAGUAAUGCCAGAAGAUGCCCUAAUUGGUGCUUGGAGAAGAUCUUCCCACAAUCUUUGGAUCAAAAGACUGCGCAGGGCUUCAACUUUAUCAGAGAUUUUACAGGUUCUUGCUGAUUUUGUCACUGCUAUCAAUGAGGACUGGUUGUGUGAAUCUGGUCAUACUUUGGGAUUGAAUUAUGACCCAGAAGAAAUUAUUGCAAGCUUUUCAAGCAUGCCCCGGACUUCAUCUGCAGUUGCAUUUUGGUUGGUCAAGUUGGAUGCCUUGAUCGCACCCCACUUGGAAAGUGUGCCCAUUAGCACCCUACAAGUCUAAAGUGUGUGCUAGAUCUAGCUAAUUGAAGGGGUAAAGACCUAUAAAUAAAUAAUUAAAUGAAAGGAGCCGAGAACACUGAAAUCUUCAGGCAAUGUGAUAUGCUUUCUGUCAUGCCCACUUAGGCUUGUUGUAAAAAUUUCGUUUUGGAUUAUUACAACCCUUUCCUGCUGAAUAUUUGACGCAGUCGAUCUUCACCAGUCGUCUGACACAUGCUUGAUAUGCUUUGACAUUUCAGGUAGGUUGUUUCAAACAGGUCAAUAUUCUUUAGUUUCCCGGAUAAAGAAUACAUGGUUUGUAUCCAUCAAACUUCUUUGUGCCAAAAUUAAGAUACUUGGAGAGAAGGUUAUUCCUAUCAUUAUCCCUGACGGAAUCAUGCUGCUUAUGGCUACAAGUGCAACAGAAAGCUUUAUGAUUUUUUGGAAAGUAAAGCAGAAAAUACGGCAGUUCAGCAAUCGGUUUAACAACUGAAGCUGAUAUAUGUACAAUGUUAUUUCGCGACAUCCAUUUUUGUUAUCAUCACUAUACCUAGUAUACAUGAGUUCUUCUUGAAUGUAAAUAGUAGUGCAGGUCUCUUCCUCAUCUUCAAUCUUCAACCCAAUUUUGGUGUAUUAGAACUCACUCUUGAUUUCUUCACAUGUAUUAGCUCAUUCCUUGUAUGAUAAAACUGUUAUACAGGUUUCUCUUAGCGGCAAUAUAAUAAAAUUUAGUGGGGCAAUUCGAUGCCUUCGUUUCAGA
RNA transcript from Solanum tuberosum (potato), 4057 nucleotides. RefSeq lists it as uncharacterized. NCBI's taxonomy places the organism in Eukaryota, Viridiplantae, Streptophyta, Magnoliopsida, Solanales, Solanaceae. The transcript has 17 exons. The record is from RefSeq and is a predicted model, not a curated record.